RNAcentral lists this transfer RNA (268 nucleotides) under Arabidopsis thaliana (thale cress). RNAcentral's name for it is "ATSL293790". The stretch from base 174 to 259 matches the Rfam family "tRNA". Lineage: Eukaryota; Viridiplantae; Streptophyta; Magnoliopsida; Brassicales; Brassicaceae. The record is from RNAcentral.
AUGGAAGAGAAGAGCAACAAGGACGAAUUGAGACAGAGCAGAGCAGAGCAGAAGAAGCGGAUUGGGGUUGUGCGUACGUGAAAAAUCUCUCUUUCCUCGACAGAGACUAGACGAGAACGAUAGUGUUGAUUUGAAAUGCUUGAUAGAGUAUUUUCUAAAGGGAGUAAACAAUUGGGGUGGUGGCGCAGUUGGCUAGCGCGUAGGUCUCAUAGCUAUCUGAGUAAUCCUGAGGUCGAGAGUUCGAGCCUCUCUCACCCCACAAUAUUUU